This 63-nucleotide microRNA precursor is filed under the name Drosophila yakuba. Its description in RNAcentral is "Dya-Mir-96-P3_pre stem-loop". It matches the Rfam family "mir-263 microRNA precursor family", at positions 12 to 76 of the family's 86-position model. Lineage: Eukaryota; Metazoa; Arthropoda; Insecta; Diptera; Drosophilidae. The record is from RNAcentral.
AAUGGCACUGGAAGAAUUCACGGGGUACUUUUUAUACAACCCGUGAUCUCUUAGUGGCAUCUA